GAUGAACGCUGACAGAAUGCUUAACACAUGCAAGUCAACUUGAAUUUGGGUUUUUAACUUAGGUUUGGGUGGCGGACGGGUGAGUAACGCGUAAAGAACUUGCCUCACAGCUAGGGACAACAGUUGGAAACGAAUGCUAAUACCUAAUAUUAUGAUAAUAGGGCAUCCUAUAAUUAUGAAAGCUAUAAGCGCUGUGAGAGAGCUUUGCGUCACAUUAGCUAGUUGGAGAGGUAACGGCUCACCAAGGCGAUGAUGGGUAGCCGGCCUGAGAGGGUGAUCGGCCACAAGGGGACUGGGACACGGCCCUUACUCAUACGGGAGGAAGCAGUGGGGACUAUUGGACAAUGGACCGAGAGUCUGAUGCAGCAAUUCUGUGUGCACGAUGAAGUUUUUCGGAAUGUAAAGUGGUUUCAGUUGGGAAGAAACAAAUGACGGUACCAACAGAAGAAGUGACGGCUAAAUACGUG
RNAcentral lists this ribosomal RNA (467 nucleotides) under uncultured bacterium. RNAcentral describes it as "partial 16S ribosomal RNA". It matches the Rfam family "Bacterial small subunit ribosomal RNA", at positions 28 to 507 of the family's 1533-position model. The record is from RNAcentral.